GUUUAACAACAGCAGCAGCAACUAGAGGAUGUGUUAAGACACAGUUCAUGGCACAUGUGAUACGAACUUGUGAUUUCUCUCCUCAGGGUAUUUUAGAAAUGCAAGUAACCCUCAUCUUGAAGUUGCUGGAGAGACCAUCUUGGCUUUGCAAUCUGACCAGGACCAAGAUGUUUCCUUUUUGCCACCCUAGAACCAAGCGACAGAGUCUUCUGGACCCUACUGCACUAGGAAAACAGGAUGGACUCCUCUGGGAAGGUUGUUUCAUGCCUGGCACCUUUGGCUUGUGACCUGAAGGGGAACUGAUUGUAUUUUAUCUGCUGAAGAAGAAAAGAUUUCUGAAACUUCCACAUUGUGCACCCAAAUGACAGACCCCUUUCCUGUCUGAGGCUCCCAGACUGAAUCUUGGUGGGGACUUAAGUGCAGAUGGCUAGGCCUGUGCCACAUUCCCCAGCCCCACAGGCCUGACCCAGGACACCUUGUGGACAGGGUGCAGGCCUGCCAGCAACUUGUUUUGUUCAAGACAGACUAUAUUCGAGUCUCCCCUCCCGAUCGCUUAUUAGAAGCUCUGAAAUCUUUACUGGACUUGCAUAUUUGUUUCCCUUUUGCUUUUAUAUAAAAUAUAGUUUAUGGUGCUAUAUUUAUUUUUAACUGAGAUACUGUACAUAUGUAAAUAUCUUUUUUUAUUUUUAGAUAAGAUCUCACUAAGUUGCUCAAGCUGGCCUUGAACUUGGGAUCCAUCUACCUCAGCCUCCCAAGCAGCUGGGAUUACAGGCGUGCACCGCCAUGCCCAGCUUGUAAAUAGCUCUUGACAGGAAGAAAAUAUAUGAAUGUAAUAUUAGCUUCCUAUCAGUGAACUGAACAAAUAUAUCAUUGAAAUUUAUGCUGCAAUCCGAGUUGCUGCAAACAUAGCCCAGUUUGUUUACUUUUGAAAAAUGUGACAAAGCUACUAAGAAUGAUUUAUGGCAGGCUUUCUACUACUGUGGUUGGGACUUCUUAAGCACUCACCCUCUGCUUCUUUCCGGAACUCUCCUCACAAAGAUGGCGUUGGUGUAAAGCUGAAGGAUUUUUCAUUUUCGUACAGAUAUAUUGUCGAUGUUUAAGAACUUGAGAGGGAAGUAGAUAACUGAGAUGCAUGGAUAUCAACUUUCAUGCUUUAGAAUACUAAAAGAUAGGAAACCAUAGUUCUGAUCAGAACUUGCCCACAAAUACCAGUGAUUCUGGGGGGUUAAAUCAUGUACUCUUCAAAUUGAUGUAAGUACACCGAACUUAGAUUUCAUGCUUUUAAAAUUUAGACUCAAAUGCUUUAGAAUUUAACAGUUUUUUCAUUAGUUAAUAAUUCAAGAUUCUGUAAACAUUUGAUUAAAUUCUGCAUUCAUAUGUCGUUGUUCUUGUUUUUCUGUUUAUCUUCUCAACAAUGGGCCCAGAGAAGAAGGAAGAGUAGCCCACAGGGGAUUUAGGAACCAGCUGCCAAGGGCCCUCUUUUCCUCUCUGAUUUUUUUUUUUUUUU
This 1507-nucleotide long non-coding RNA is filed under the name Marmota monax (woodchuck). Lineage: Eukaryota; Metazoa; Chordata; Mammalia; Rodentia; Sciuridae. The record is from RNAcentral.